Vespula pensylvanica (western yellowjacket) is the source of this 730-nucleotide long non-coding RNA. RefSeq lists it as uncharacterized. The transcript is spliced from 2 exons. The record is from RefSeq and is a predicted model, not a curated record. NCBI's taxonomy places the organism in Eukaryota, Metazoa, Arthropoda, Insecta, Hymenoptera, Vespidae.
CUUUCGCUUUGCGCUCGGUUAACGAGUACCAACGAAUACCGUAGCGCAGUCGAGUCGAGACACGCGUCCUGUUACAAGGUCGUCUUUGGAUCUCUGUGUUUGAAAAGAAGAAAGAAAAACCUUGGAGAUGUGGCUCUCCUUUUCUGAUAGAUAUUACAUUGGCGAUUGUCCAUCUAUUACGACUAUGUCAACUUAAUUUAGAUACGUAAGAGAAAAACAAACAGAGAGAAAGAGAGAGAGAGAGAGAGAGGGAAAGAGAGCACUGAAUGUUUUUAUCAAAUCGUUUAAAUUAUCAGCUUAUAAAACGAAACGUUCAAAAUAUAAUGGAACGAAACGAUCAAUCAAAAUCAAUUACUGACGAGACCAAACGUCCACAUAGAAUACUACGUCUUACUACGCUUGCUACGAAAUAACGAGACAUCGAGAAUAUUUCGCAUCUCGCAAAGGAAGGUGGCAAAGCAGUAGAACUUGUCUUAACUCCAAUCACGUCUCGAGAAAAACAGCUUUCUUCCUCGAGGGAGCUAUUUUCUAUGUUACGGUAUCUACAGGGUGCAAUAAACAAGCUUCUUCCAACCAUGAAAAAUAUGAGAAAAAUGGAAUGAAAAGCUGAAGAUAUCUUUGAUAAAAAAAAACGCGCGUAUAUUUUUUGAAGACCGUUUAAUUGGAAAUUUUGCCAUUUACGAUGAUCCUUGUAAAAUUAAAAAAAAUAUACAAAAGACAUUCUUUCGAA